UACGUAGGGGGCAAGCGUUGUCCGGAUUUAUUGGGCGUAAAGCGCGUGUAGGCGGCUUGGUAGGUCAGCUGUGAAAACUCGAGGCUCAACCUCGAGACGUCGGUUGAAACCACCUGGCUAGAGUCCGGAAGAGGAGAGUGGAAUUCCCGGUGUAGCGGUGAAAUGCGCAGAUAUCGGGAAGAACACCCGUGGCGAAGGCGGCUCUCUGGGACGGUACUGACGCUGAGACGCGAAAGCGUGGGGAGCGAACAGG
Molecule: ribosomal RNA, 253 nt
Filed under: uncultured bacterium
Lineage: Bacteria
Description: partial 16S ribosomal RNA
Rfam family: Bacterial small subunit ribosomal RNA
Source: RNAcentral